This 253-nucleotide ribosomal RNA is filed under the name uncultured bacterium. RNAcentral's name for it is "partial 16S ribosomal RNA". It matches the Rfam family "Bacterial small subunit ribosomal RNA", at positions 524 to 776 of the family's 1533-position model. The record is from RNAcentral.
UACGAAGGGGGCUAGCGUUGUUCGGAAUUACUGGGCGUAAAGCGCACGUAGGUGGCGACGUAAGUCGGGUGUGAAAGCCCCGGGCUCAACCUGGGAAUUGCAUUCGAGACUGCAUUGCUGGAGUACGGAAGAGGAAGGCGGAAUUCCCGGUGUAGCGGUGAAAUGCGUAGAUAUCGGGAGGAACAUCAGUGGCGAAGGCGGCCUUCUAGUCCAGUACUGACACUCAAGUGCGAAAGCGUGGGGAGCAAACAGG